GAUGAACGCUAGCUACAGGCUUAACACAUGCAAGUCGAGGGACCGGCGCACGGGGGAGUAACACGGAUCCAACCUGCCCUUUACUCGGGGAUAGCCUUUCGCAAGACAGAUUAAUACCCGAUGUAAAGGAUGGGGAUGCGUUCCCUUAGGUUGUUGGUGAGGUAACGGCUCACCAAGCCUUCGAUGGAUAGGGGUUCUGAGAGGAAGUUCCCCCACAUUGGAACUGAGACACGGUCCAAACUCCUACUGGAGGCAGCAGGGAGGAAUAUUGGUCAAUGGGCGUUAGCCUGAACCAGCCAAGUAGCGUGAAGGAUGAAGGCUUAUGGGUCGUAAACUUCUUUUAUAUAAGAAUAUGUAUUAUAUGAAUAAGGAUCGGCUAACUCCGUGCCAGCAGCCGCGGUAAUUC
RNAcentral lists this ribosomal RNA (406 nucleotides) under uncultured bacterium. RNAcentral describes it as "partial 16S ribosomal RNA". It matches the Rfam family "Bacterial small subunit ribosomal RNA", at positions 28 to 526 of the family's 1533-position model. The record is from RNAcentral.